GAUGAACGCUGGCGGCGUGCCUAAUACAUGCAAGUCGAGCGAACAGACGAGGAGCUUGCUCCUCUGACGUUAGCGGCGGACGGGUGAGUAACACGUGGAUAACCUACCUAUAAGACUGGGAUAACUUCGGGAAACCGGAGCUAAUACCGGAUAAUAUAUUGAACCGCAUGGUUCAAUAGUGAAAGACGGUUUUGCUGUCACUUAUAGAUGGAUCCGCGCCGCAUUAGCUAGUUGGUAAGGUAACGGCUUACCAAGGCAACGAUGCGUAGCCGACCUGAGAGGGAGAGUGCCGGCACUGAUGCUGCGACAGGGUCCAGAGUCCUAGGGGGAGCAGCGAUACGAAAUCUUCCUCCAUAGACGAAACCCUACCGGCGCAACGCCGCGUGAGUGAUGCAGGUCUUCGCAUCGUAAGACUCUGUUAUUAGUGAGUAACAAAUGUGUAAGUAACUAUGCACGUAUUGACGGUACCUAAUCAGAAAGCCGCGGCUAACUCCAUG
Molecule: ribosomal RNA, 497 nt
Filed under: uncultured bacterium
Lineage: Bacteria
Description: partial 16S ribosomal RNA
Rfam family: Bacterial small subunit ribosomal RNA
Source: RNAcentral